This 67-nucleotide transfer RNA is filed under the name Paralepas cf. quadrata. RNAcentral describes it as "tRNA-Trp". It matches the Rfam family "tRNA". From Rfam's summary of the family: Transfer RNA (tRNA) molecules are approximately 80 nucleotides in length. Their secondary structure includes four short double-helical elements and three loops (D, anti-codon, and T loops). The record is from RNAcentral. Lineage: Eukaryota; Metazoa; Arthropoda; Thecostraca; Heteralepadidae.
AAUGUUUUAGGUUAAUGAAAACCAAAAGCCUUCAAAGCUUUAAAUGGAGAAACAUCUCUAAACAUUA